Molecule: long non-coding RNA, 1461 nt
Filed under: Equus caballus (horse)
Lineage: Eukaryota; Metazoa; Chordata; Mammalia; Perissodactyla; Equidae
Description: lncRNA (ENSECAG00000053317.1)
Source: RNAcentral
GUGCUGUGUUAUAGUAAUUGGAUUGCUUUUAUAGAAUGCUCUCUCCCAUCCUCAUAGACUAUGGAAUCUCUGAGACUUUGGGACACUCUGCUGACUUGGCUGGAAGAAAGUUCUUGCCUAUCCAGUUUUUGCCCCUGCCUUUGGCACCUAGAAGCCUCUUUCCUCUUCCCCUCCCGGGCUUCUGUAUAAUAAGUGUGUCUGGGUUUCUGUUGCACGGAACGUCCCAGAGCAAGAGACUCUGGGGCAGUCAAACAAAGGCAGGAUUUCAUUCACCUGGCACGCUGACCCCUUGGAUCCUGGCUGGAAACUGGGCACCGGGGCCCCAGGGCUGAGAGCAGUGCCUUACAUAAGCCCCAGUGCUAGCAGCUGCUGCCUGCCUGGUCUGCGACAAGGGAGCUGUUCUCUCAUGGUAGCACAGGGACUUCUCCUUGUUGGCCAACACGUUUCCCCAUAAUUAAAAACAUCCACUGUUUUCUGCAGAUACCAUCCUCAAUGUCCCUACACUGGUAUCUUGACUGAUCUGGGAGAGGAAAAUAUACAUGUUAAUAGAUUAAUCUAAUUAAUUAUUGGCAAAACUCCCUGAAUGACCUUCUCACUCUUUUUCUCUUCCUCUAUUGCACAGCUGUGGCACGGUUAAAAUAGCAACAGGACAGGCUUCUUCUGAGUGCGCUAGACCCAUCUCCGGUCCUGUGUGCACAGUCACAAAAUGCAGACACAGCUAGAAGGUGCCUACCUGCAAACCAGGAAGAAGGCUCUCACCAGCACCCGACCAUGCUGGCACCUUGAUCUUGGACUUCUUGCCUCCAAAACUCUUGUUUCCUGCAGCCAGCACUUGGUAGAUUGUAUCCUGAUGGUGCCUGUCCCUCCAUUUCCUAAAGGUUAGUAGUAGAUCUGAAAGCUUGAGGGUUUUUCCUUUUCUUUAGCGUAGUUUUAACUUCAUAGUCCAUGACUCCUUUUGAUAGGAUUCUGUUCAUGUGUAAUAGCUUCUUCCUUGCUCUCUGAUGUGAUCAUAUGUUCCAGGCUCACCAUUCACAGUUCCUGCUCCAGAUCUGGAACCUACCAUUUUUCCCAAGGAAACAAUUUCUUUUAGUGGUUGUUAGGAGUGCUCGCCACUACUGGGUCUGUGAUUAUUAUUAGGCUGCUACCGUGGAGAGGGAUAUAAAUGUUUUUUGAAUUUUUUUCUACACCUUUAUUGAUGUAUAACUGAAGGACAAUAAAUUCAAGUACUUAAAAAGUACAAUUUGACCCGUUUGGACCAAUGCAAACACCUGCAAAACUAUAAGCGAGAUAGUAAACAUUUUUAUCACCCCCAAACUUUCCUCAUGCCUCUUUGUAAUUCAUCCCUCCUUCCAUUCCACUCCACUCCCUAAGCAAUCACUGACAUGCUUACCAUCACUAUAAAUUAGUUUGCAUUUUCUAUAAUUUUAUACAAAUAAAAUCAUAGCUUACAUACUGUUUCCU